This 1886-nucleotide long non-coding RNA is filed under the name Equus caballus (horse). RNAcentral's name for it is "lncRNA (ENSECAG00000049152.1)". The record is from RNAcentral. Lineage: Eukaryota; Metazoa; Chordata; Mammalia; Perissodactyla; Equidae.
CAGCCCUGAGCUAACUGCCAGCAAUCCUCCUCUUUUUGCUGGGGAAGACUGGCCCUGAGCUAAUAUCCGUGCCCAUCUUCCUCUACUGAAUAUGUGGGACGCCUACCACAGCAUGGCUUGACAAACGGUGCCAUGUCUGUACCCGGGAUCCGAACUGAUGAACCCCAGGCCACCGAAGCGGAACUUGCACACUUAACCGCUGUGCCACCGGGCUGGCACAGGGACAAGAUUAUUGAGAAGACCUCAAGGAACUGAGAGACCAGGGUCUUGGGUGAGUCAUCUACCAAGAUAAUGAAGUCACCAAGAAUUAUGAUGAGAUAAUGGUGGCGAUAGUGACAGUGAGGCACAGGCUCAUCCUCCAGCAAUGAGAAGGAUGUCCUGGGGGUCCAUCAGAGGCUGUGACAAGAGAGUCUAGCCUGAUGAUGUGCCUUUCUAAAGGGCGAGGGCUUCUGGAGGCAGGAGGGAGAAUGGUUGGGGGGUGACAAUGAGGAGCAAGGAAGUCACCCACCUCCCCUUCAGGCCCCUUGGUACAAGGGUAGUGGGACAGAAAACAAACCCAACCCAAGACGGCUACAGUGGAAGCUUGCUCUCGGAAAGGAGCCAGGUUUUGGUUAAAGGGAGAAUAGGAAAGGAAUAUUUAAAGAAGCUGAUGAUAUUUACUUUCUAUGCCCAGCACUCAGCUGGACACUGAGACAGUGAACAAAAGAGUGAAAUAUCCUCCCUCCUGGGCCUUAUGUUCCACCUGGUGAGACAGAGUAAACAAGAUUGAAAAAGUCAAAUAUAUAGUCUAUUAGAUAGUGCUAAAUAUUAGGGGAAAAAAUAAAGCAGUGAAGAAAGAUCGAAGUGUCAGUAAUUGGGAGUUAAAACUAUAAUAGUUAGCUAAGACAGGCUCCCUGAGAAGAAGACAUUGAGUAAAGGCCUGAAGGAAAUUGGAAAGCUGACCAGAGACCUGGGGGUAAGAAGAACAGCAACUGCAAAGGCCCUGAGGUGACAGCAUGCCCACGAUGUCUGAGGAAGAGCGAGGAGGUGAUACUGAUGCUAAUGCUGCUGGUCGGGGACCAGUUUUGAGAACCACAGGAGAAGUGCAUUACAGUCAGUUUGCCCCGCAGAAUGGAGCACCCAUUUGUGCCUCAUGAUGGUGAAUUCACUGAAGGCCGCCAGCAUGGCUGUGUUUUUGUCUCUGUCAUGCUCAGCUGCACUGGAACCGGCACAGAGCAGGCAGGGGUCGCCCGGCUCACUGGUGAUGCAGCUGGAAUAUCAACCCAGGCAAUCUGACUUUAGACUCCAAGCUUCGACCUACAAGAACUUACUUCAUCAGGAGCUAGAGUUACUGAGGAAUAUUAUCAGACCUGAUCCUCAAAUUUAGUAUUGGCAGUGUAAUGCUUUUAGGAAAACUGAAGAUGGAGGCAGAGACUGCAGUCAGGCAGCUGCAAGGUGAGGAACACCACGGACUGACGGCACCAGCAGAAACGAGGAAGAGGCAAGAAAGGAUUCUACCCAGAGCCUCAGAGAGAGCAUGGCCCUGCUGACACCUCGAUUUCAGACUUGUAGCCUCCAGAACUGGAGAUAAUAAAGCUCUGUUUUUCUAAGCCACCCAGUGUGUGGUACUGUGUUACAGCAGCCCUGGGAAACUAUACACCUUUCUGUGUUCAAAGCAAGUUCUAGUUCAAGCUGAAAGCAGGGCCUCUAGGAGCUGUCAGUUCCUCCUGCCCUCCUCUCCCCACAUUGUAGACAUAAUUCACUUACCUUCUACUUCCUUUGAAUCUUGCUGAACUCCCACGCCUUAUAGAUUCACUGGAAUUCGGUGCUCAUGGGGCAUGGAGAACACUAUACGCAAAUGGGGCAGCAAGGGACAGCAGACACCUACUGCACAACUCUCUGUUCAG